CACCCACAGCAGCACACUGGCGGAGGAGGUGGUGGCACUGCUGCACACGCUGCACUCCCUGACUCAGUGGAAUGGGCUCAUCAACAAGUACAUCAACUCCCAGCUCCGCUCCAUCACCCACAGCUUUGCGGGAAGGCCUUCCAAAGGGGCCCAGUUAGAGGACUACUUCCCUGAUUCCGAGAACCCUGAAGUGGGGGGCCUCAUGGCGGUCCUGGCUGUGGUUGGAG
This 227-nucleotide long non-coding RNA is filed under the name Homo sapiens (human). RNAcentral's name for it is "non-protein coding lnc-GOLGA6L6-12:1". The record is from RNAcentral. Lineage: Eukaryota; Metazoa; Chordata; Mammalia; Primates; Hominidae.